RNAcentral lists this ribosomal RNA (402 nucleotides) under uncultured bacterium. RNAcentral's name for it is "bacterial SSU rRNA". It matches the Rfam family "Bacterial small subunit ribosomal RNA", at positions 355 to 774 of the family's 1533-position model. The record is from RNAcentral.
UGGGGAAUAUUGCACAAUGGGCGAAAGCCUGAUGCAGCAACGCCGCGUGAGUGAUGAAGGCCUUCGGGUUGUAAAGCUCUGUCUUCUGGGACGAUAAUGACGGUACCAGAGGAGGAAGCCACGGCUAACUACGUGCCAGCAGCCGCGGUAAUACGUAGGUGGCAAGCGUUGUCCGGAUUUACUGGGCGUAAAGGAUGCGUAGGCGGAUACUUAAGUCAGAUGUGAAAAUCCCGGGCUUAACUUGGGAACUGCAUUUGAAACUGGGUAUCUAGAGUGCGGGAGAGGAAAGUGGAAUUCCUAGUGUAGCGGUGAAAUGCGUAGAGAUUAGGAAGAACACCAGUGGCGAAGGCGACUUUCUGGACCGUAACUGACGCUGAGGCUCGAAAGCGUGGGGAGCAAACA